This 820-nucleotide ribosomal RNA is filed under the name Albifimbria verrucaria. RNAcentral's name for it is "partial large subunit ribosomal RNA". It matches the Rfam family "Eukaryotic large subunit ribosomal RNA", at positions 74 to 929 of the family's 3401-position model. The record is from RNAcentral. Lineage: Eukaryota; Fungi; Ascomycota; Sordariomycetes; Hypocreales; Stachybotryaceae.
AUUGCCUCAGUAACGGCGAGUGAAGCGGCAACAGCUCAAAUUUGAAAUCUGGCCCUAGGCCCGAGUUGUAAUUUGCAGAGGAUGCUUUUGGCAAGGUGCCUUCCGAGUUCCCUGGAACGGGACGCCAUAGAGGGUGAGAGCCCCGUCUGGUCGGACACCGAGCCUCUGUAAAGCUCCUUCGACGAGUCGAGUAGUUUGGGAAUGCUGCUCAAAAUGGGAGGUAUAUGUCUUCUAAAGCUAAAUACCGGCCAGAGACCGAUAGCGCACAAGUAGAGUGAUCGAAAGAUGAAAAGCACUUUGAAAAGAGAGUUAAAUAGCACGUGAAAUUGUUGAAAGGGAAGCGUUUAUGACCAGACUUGGCCCGGUUGAUCAUCCAGCCUUCUGGCUGGUGCACUCUGCCGGUCCAGGCCAGCAUCAGUUCGCCGCGGGGGAUAAAGGUUUCGGGAAUGUAGCUCCUCCGGGAGUGUUAUAGCCCGUUGCGUAAUACCCUGCGGUGGACUGAGGUCCGCGCUCUGCAAGGAUGCUGGCGUAAUGGUCAUCAACGACCCGUCUUGAAACACGGACCAAGGAGUCGUCUUCGUAUGCGAGUGUUCGGGGGUAAAACCCCUACGCGUAAUGAAAGUGAACGCAGGUGAGAGCUUCGGCGCAUCAUCGACCGAUCCUGAUGUUCUCGGAUGGAUUUGAGUAAGAGCAUACGGGGCCGGACCCGAAAGAAGGUGAACUAUGCCUGUAUAGGGUGAAGCCAGAGGAAACUCUGGUGGAGGCUCGCAGCGGUUCUGACGUGCAAAUCGAUCGUCAAAUAUGGGCAUGGGGGCGAAAG